UUUUAAUGGCCGCAGUAUAUUAACUGUGCAAAGGUAGCAUAAUCAUUAGUCUUUUAAUUGAAGGCUGGUAUGAAUGGUUGAACGAAAUAUUGACUGUUUCAGUUAAAUUUAUAAUAGAAUUUUAUUUUUUAGUUAAAAAGCUAAAAUUUUUUUAAAAGACGAGAAGACCCUAUAAAUCUUUAUAUUUAAAUUAUAUUAUUUUUUUAGAUUUAUUUUAAUAUUAUAGUAAUAGUAUUUUAUUGGGGUGAUAUUAAAAUUUAAUUAACUUUUUAAUUUUAAAUUACAUUAAUUUAUGAAAUUUUGAUCCAUUAUUAUUGAUUAAUAAUUUAAGUUACUUUAGGGAUAACAGCGUAAUUUUUUUGGAGAGUUCUUAUUGAUAAAAAAGAUU
RNAcentral lists this ribosomal RNA (388 nucleotides) under Triarthria setipennis. RNAcentral describes it as "partial 16S ribosomal RNA". The record is from RNAcentral. Lineage: Eukaryota; Metazoa; Arthropoda; Insecta; Diptera; Tachinidae.